Long non-coding RNA from Juglans microcarpa x Juglans regia, 155 nucleotides. RefSeq lists it as uncharacterized. The transcript is spliced from 3 exons. The record is from RefSeq and is a predicted model, not a curated record. Lineage: Eukaryota; Viridiplantae; Streptophyta; Magnoliopsida; Fagales; Juglandaceae.
UGAGCUUUGUAUAUAUGUGAGGGAGAGAGAGAAGCUAGGGUUUACUGAGGGAGAAAGGAAAGCUGUGUUGAGGCUUGUAUUUGGCUCAGUAUUAGCUUGAUCUUGUGUACAUACAUUGGCUUUUGAAGAUUGCUCAAUAAAGAAUGAUCUCUGAG